Molecule: long non-coding RNA, 222 nt
Filed under: Brassica napus (rape)
Lineage: Eukaryota; Viridiplantae; Streptophyta; Magnoliopsida; Brassicales; Brassicaceae
Description: long non-coding RNA (BNAP_LNC022116)
Source: RNAcentral
AUUUAAAACAAUCUGAAAUAAUUGAAAAAAAAAUAAUAAAGCCAAUUUUAAUGAUGAUAACGCCACUAACUAAACCGUAAACCCAAAUCCUAAAUCCUAAACCCAAACCGUAAACCCUAAACCCAAAUCCUAAACCCUAAACCCAAACCGUAAAUCCUAAACCCAAACCUUAUAUCUUAAACCCAAAUCAUAGACUCUAAACUCAAACCAUAUAUCCAAACC